CCCCAAAACUCGAAUUAUUAAAUUCGUUAGUAGGUUACCUUGGGUAAUUAGAUGAAGUACAACAACUAAGUUAUUAAACUUAGUUAAAUGUCUAAUAAAUAAGUAAAGGAAUGAAGUUUGUGGCAACUAUGAUGAUGUGUUAGAGUUGAGGGACCUAGAUUGCCAUAAUGUAAACUAAAAUAUAAUAAAAAAAAAAGAAAGCAAAAAUAAAACCACAACACACACUGUGCGUGUGUGUGGUCGAUCGCACAAGGCAGAGGGAAAGGGGUAAACCCUAAUUCUCAAGAAAUCUCCAAAUUGAAAAGGGAAUUGAAGGAUUUUAGGAUGCAUGUAUCAAGAUUAUCGAUCUCCUAAGUGUUCUUCACUAUCAAGAACGUGUCAAGGAGAGGUCAAGCAUAGGAGGAUAACGGGUCAAGAUAAGGCAAGGUGACAAAUACACUUAAUGGCGAGGUAAGUGAAUUUCGAUUCACUUUUUAGUAGGUUUAAUAGAUUUUAAUACUUAUGUUUACGAAACAUCAUGAAAGAACAUGUAAUAAUCAGAAGUACAAAGCCAAUAAUGCCUCAUUAUUGAGGAAGGUUGUAUUAAGCCGAAAGUAAAUUGGUGGGUUUAAACGGGUCGAAUUUUAUGUGCAUAUGUUGCGUAAUGUAAUAAAAUUCGUUAUGGUUAAGACCUUGGGUAGGAAUUUUUAGUCAUUAUGUAAGGGGAACACUUCCCGGACCAUUAGGAACAAGUUUUAUAUGAUUCGGUUGUCGGUUAGUUAAUGAACGGAUUGUUUCAUGUUAGUGUAGGAAAUUUUAUAAGUAUAUGUGUAUAGGAACCCAAAGGGCACGUGGGUUGAAUCAUAGAUUGUUUAUACUAUGUAAAGUUGUGAAUGUGACAUUCCGGCAUAAACCUACAUGUAAAAGAAGCUUGUGUAUAUAUUCGUGAUUAAUUAAUUGUGCGUAGGAAGGAACAUUGGCAUGUAUGAAGGUACGCAUGUAUAUGUAAGUGUGUAUAUAUAUAUAUAUAUAUGUAUGUAUGAUAAUAAGUACGUAGGUGUGAAUGUAUGUGUGAAUGAAUGUUCAAUGCUUAAGACAUAUGCAUGAACGUUAUCAAAGUGUUCGAGUAUUUAUGGUUACUAAUGAUGUGCGUUGAGUUGGAAUGUAAUGUAGGUAUGGGAUCGUUGGCUUCAUGAAGAAAUGGAGCUGGAUUUGGAUAAGAGUAUUUAAGAAAGCGCUUGGACAAUUCCACGACUACUUUAUAGAAUGCUCUACGAAAUUCUAUUAUAUAGUUUAAUGUUGUAUGGUAUGUUAAUGACUAAUGGUUUGGUUGUACGUGGUGUCCACAGGUAUCGCUUGGGUUUUCUCUACAUUUAUUGAAGUGAAGCGGACUUAGUUCGAGUUGAGAGCAAGGAUUGUACGGGGUAGAAUGGUCACAUAGUGUAACUCAUAUAGAUUUUGAAGUAUUUGAACCUUCAUGUGUUUGAUAUGUCUAUUAAAGAACGAAAUUUUUGGGCUCU
Long non-coding RNA from Helianthus annuus (common sunflower), 1499 nucleotides. RefSeq lists it as uncharacterized. Lineage: Eukaryota; Viridiplantae; Streptophyta; Magnoliopsida; Asterales; Asteraceae. The transcript is spliced from 2 exons. The record is from RefSeq and is a predicted model, not a curated record.